GGGUAAUAUAAUGACAGUAGACGGGAGACCAGGGGAGAGUAGGGUAAUAUAAUGACAGGAGAGACCAGGGUAAUAUAAUGACAGUAGAGGGGAGACCAGGGGAGAGUAGGGUAAUAUAAUGACAGUAGAUGGUAGACCAGGGUAAUAUAAUGACAGUAGAUGGUAGACCAGGGUAAUAUAAACCAGGGUAAUAUAGACCAGGGUAAUAUAAUGACAGUAGAUGGUAGACCAGGGUAAUAUAAUGACAGUAUAUGGUAGACCAGGGUAAUAUAAUGACAGUAGAUGGCAGACCAGGGUAAUAUAAUUACAGUAGAGUUUAGACCAGGGUAAUGUAAUGACAGGGGAUGGUAGACCAGGGUAAUAUAAUGACAGUAGAUGGUAUCCAGGGUAAUAUGAUGACAGUAGAGUUUAGACCAGGGUAAUAUAAUAACAGGGGAUGGUAGAUCAGGGUAAUAUAAUGACAGUAGAUGGUAGACCAGGGUAAUAUAAUGACACUGGAUGGUAGACCAGGGUAAUAUAAUGACAUUAGAGGCCAGGGUAAUAUAAUGACAGUAGAUGGUAGACCAGGGUAAUAUAAUGACAGUAGAGGGGAGACCAGGGUAAUAUAAUGACAGUAGAGUUUAGACCAGGGUAAUAUAAUGACAGGGGAUGGUAGACCAGGGUAAUAUAAUGACAGUAGAUGG
Long non-coding RNA from Oncorhynchus tshawytscha (Chinook salmon), 683 nucleotides. NCBI's taxonomy places the organism in Eukaryota, Metazoa, Chordata, Actinopteri, Salmoniformes, Salmonidae. The record is from Ensembl.